GGAGAGGUGGCCGAGUGGCCGAAGGCGCGGCACUGGAAAUGCCGUGUAUCCCCAAAAGGGAUACCGCGGGUUCGAAUCCCGCCCUCUCCG
This 90-nucleotide transfer RNA is filed under the name Planctomycetota bacterium. Its description in RNAcentral is "tRNA-Ser". It matches the Rfam family "tRNA". Rfam says of the family: Transfer RNA (tRNA) molecules are approximately 80 nucleotides in length. RNAcentral also lists the same sequence under 2 other names. Lineage: Bacteria; Pseudomonadati; Planctomycetota. The record is from RNAcentral.